Carassius carassius (crucian carp) is the source of this 197-nucleotide long non-coding RNA. RefSeq lists it as uncharacterized. The transcript has 2 exons. Lineage: Eukaryota; Metazoa; Chordata; Actinopteri; Cypriniformes; Cyprinidae. The record is from RefSeq and is a predicted model, not a curated record.
AUGAUAAAAGAAAUGGAAGGAAAGAAAGAAAGAAAGAAAAAGUGAACUAGUGAGUGAACGAUUGAAUCAAAUAAAUCAAUUCACUGAAAGAACAAGUGGAGAAAGAAAGAAAGAAAGAAAGAGAGUGAACUAGUGAGUGAACAAGUGAAUCAAAUAAAUCAAUUCACUGAAAAAACAAGUGAGUGAGGGAAAGAAAG